Molecule: ribosomal RNA, 685 nt
Filed under: uncultured bacterium
Lineage: Bacteria
Description: bacterial SSU rRNA
Rfam family: Bacterial small subunit ribosomal RNA
Source: RNAcentral
AGUCGAGCGGAUGAGGGGAGCUUGCUCCCUGAUUUAGCGGCGGACGGGUGAGUAAUGCCUAGGAAUCUGCCUGGUAGUGGGGGAUAACGUUCCGAAAGGAACGCUAAUACCGCAUACGUCCUACGGGAGAAAGCAGGGGACCUUCGGGCCUUGCGCUAUCAGAUGAGCCUAGGUCGGAUUAGCUAGUUGGUGAGGUAAUGGCUCACCAAGGCGACGAUCCGUAACUGGUCUGAGAGGAUGAUCAGUCACACUGGAACUGAGACACGGUCCAGACUCCUACGGGAGGCAGCAGUGGGGAAUAUUGGACAAUGGGCGAAAGCCUGAUCCAGCCAUGCCGCGUGUGUGAAGAAGGUCUUCGGAUUGUAAAGCACUUUAAGUUGGGAGGAAGGGCAUUAACCUAAUACGUUAGUGUUUUGACGUUACCAACAGAAUAAGCACCGGCUAACUUCGUGCCAGCAGCCGCGGUAAUACGAAGGGUGCAAGCGUUAAUCGGAAUUACUGGGCGUAAAGCGCGCGUAGGUGGUUCGUUAAGUUGGAUGUGAAAGCCCCGGGCUCAACCUGGGAACUGCAUCCAAAACUGGCGAGCUAGAGUACGGUAGAGGGUGGUGGAAUUUCCUGUGUAGCGGUGAAAUGCGUAGAUACAGGAAGGAACACCCAGUGGCGAAGGCGACCACCUGGACUGAUA